RNAcentral lists this ribosomal RNA (498 nucleotides) under uncultured bacterium. RNAcentral's name for it is "partial 16S ribosomal RNA". It matches the Rfam family "Bacterial small subunit ribosomal RNA", at positions 30 to 523 of the family's 1533-position model. The record is from RNAcentral.
AUUGAACGCUGGCGGCAUGCCUUACACAUGCAAGUCGAACGGUAACAGGUCUUCGGAUGCUGACGAGUGGCGAACGGGUGAGUAAUACAUCGGAACGUGCCUAGUAGUGGGGGAUAACUACUCGAAAGAGUGGCUAAUACCGCAUGAGAUCUACGGAUGAAAGCAGGGGAUCGCAAGACCUUGUGCUACUAGAGCGGCCGAUGGCAGAUUAGGUAGUUGGUGGGAUAAAAGCUUACCAAGCCGACGAUCUGUAGCUGGUCUGAGAGGACGAUCAGCCACACUGGGACUGAGACACGGCCCAGACUCCUACGGGAGGCAGCAGUGGGGAAUUCUGGACAAUGGGCGAAAGCCUGAUCCAGCAAUGCCGCGUGCAGGGUGAAGGCCUUCGGGUUGUAAACUGCUUUUGUACGGAACGAAAAGCCCCGGGUUAAUACCCUGUGGUCAUGACGGUACCGUAAGAAUAAGCACCGGCUAACUACGUGCCAGCCGCCGCUGUAA